UACGGAGGGUGCGAGCGUUGUCCGGAAUCACUGGGCGUAAAGGGCGCGUAGGCGGUCUGUUAAGCGUGUGGUGAAAGCUCGGGGCUCAACCCCGAGUCUGCCAUGCGAACUGGUGGACUUGAGCACUGUAGAGGCAGGUGGAAUUCCGGGUGUAGCGGUGGAAUGCGUAGAGAUCCGGAAGAACACCGGUGGCGAAGGCGGCCUGCUGGGCAGUUGCUGACGCUGAGGCGCGACAGCGUGGGGAGCAAACGGG
Molecule: ribosomal RNA, 253 nt
Filed under: uncultured bacterium
Lineage: Bacteria
Description: partial 16S ribosomal RNA
Rfam family: Bacterial small subunit ribosomal RNA
Source: RNAcentral